Molecule: ribosomal RNA, 424 nt
Filed under: uncultured bacterium
Lineage: Bacteria
Description: partial 16S ribosomal RNA
Rfam family: Bacterial small subunit ribosomal RNA
Source: RNAcentral
GAAUAUUGGACCACGGGGGGAACCCCGAUCCAGCCAUGCCGCGUGUGUGAAGAAGGCCUUUUGGUUGUAAAGCACUUUAAGCGAGGAGGAGGAGCUCUGGGUUAAUACCCAAGAUGCCUGGACGUUACUCGCAGAAUAAGCACCGGCUAACUCCGUGCCCGCAGCCGCGGUGAUACAGAGGGUGCAAGCGUGAAUCGGAGUUACUGGGCGUAAAGCGCGCGUAGGGGGCCAAUUAAGUCAAAUGUGAAAGCCCCGAGCUUAACUUGGGAAUUGCAUUCGAUACUGGUUGGCUAGAGUAUGGGAGAGGGUGGUAGAAUUCCAGGUGUAGCGGUGAAAUGCGCAGAGAUCUGGAGGAAUACCGAUGGCGAAGGCAGCCAUCUGGGCUAAUACUGACACUGAGGUGCGAAAGCGUGGGGAGCAAACA